This 924-nucleotide ribosomal RNA is filed under the name Triticum aestivum (bread wheat). Its description in RNAcentral is "partial small subunit ribosomal RNA". Lineage: Eukaryota; Viridiplantae; Streptophyta; Magnoliopsida; Poales; Poaceae. The record is from RNAcentral.
AUGGCUCAUUUCAUCCCAUGCCGCAAGACAACGGAUGCUCAUCAUGUGGCAAACCUAUUCUGUCGAGAAGUGAUCAGACUUCAUGGAGUUCCAAGGUCCAUUGUCUCAGACCGUGAUAGCAAGUUUCUUGCUGCAUUUUGGCUCACUUUGUGGAAGCAAUUCAACACUGAAUUGAAAUUUGCUAGCACUGCUCAUCCACAAACAGAUGGACAAACGGAAGUGGUGAACAAGUUUUUGGGUAAUUUGAUCCGUUGCAUUUGUGGAGAAAGAAAGGGACAAUGGGAUUUGGCUUUAUCUCUUGCAGAAUUCUCCUACAAUAACUCCAAGCAUAGAUCCACAGGAAGGAGCCCUUUUUCCAUUGUCUACACUAAAGUUCCAUCACAUGUGGUGGACCUGGUGAAGCUACCAUCAAGGGGAAACUCAAAAUCAGCAUUGUCCUUUGCUGAUAAUUACACCGAGUUAUUUGAAGAGAUUCGCGGUUCUUUGGAAGCACAAAAUCAGAAAUAUAACCAGCUUGCUGAUUGCAAAAGGAGGCCAAAAUCAUUCCAAGCCGGUGAUAAGGUGAUGGUCUACCUCCGAAAAGAGAGGCUGCCUUUAGGUGUUAAAGGGAAACUUAGGCAGCGAAGGUGUGGACCCUUCUCUAUCGUGAGGAAAAUAAAUGAUAAUGCUUAUGUGAUAGAUCUUCCAAGCGAUAUGGGUAUCUCCAACACUUUCAAUGUUGCGUACUUGACUCUCUACCAUCCAGAAGAAGCGCUCAAUGAAGAUAACUCGAGGGCGAGUUCCAAACAACCAGGGGAGAAUGAUGAGGAACAUGAAAAUAUAAUCAUAUGUCAAAUCUGUUUGGCUACUUUUAGAUACUUCUGUUGUGGUCUAGUAUUUCUUUUCUUUUCUUUAUCCUACCUACUGUUUUCUAGAGUCUUCUAG